UGUGGGAGCUGGCUUGCCUGCGAUGCUGACGCCUCGGUGUUUCAGUUCCACCGAGGCGAUGCUAUCGCAGGCAAGCCAGCUCCCACA
RNAcentral lists this unclassified non-coding RNA (87 nucleotides) under Pseudomonas yamanorum. The record is from RNAcentral. Lineage: Bacteria; Pseudomonadati; Pseudomonadota; Gammaproteobacteria; Pseudomonadales; Pseudomonadaceae.